Molecule: ribosomal RNA, 374 nt
Filed under: uncultured organism
Description: bacterial SSU rRNA
Rfam family: Bacterial small subunit ribosomal RNA
Source: RNAcentral
CGGGGGGAGCAAGCGUUGUUCGGAUUUACUGGGCGUAAAGGGCGCGUAGGCGGCCACCGCAAGUCGACUGUGAAAUCUCCGGGCUUAACCCGGAAAGGUCAGCCGAUACUGCGGGGCUAGAGUGCAGAAGGGGCAACUGGAAUUCUCGGUGUAGCGGUGAAAUGCGUAGAUAUCGAGAGGAACACCUGCGGCGAAGGCGGGUUGCUGGGCUGACACUGACGCUGAGGCGCGAAAGCUAGGGGAGCGAACGGGAUUAGAUACCCCGGUAGUCCUAGCCUUAAACGAUGAAUGCUUGGUGUCUGGGGCUUUAUAGUCCCCGGGUGCCGUCGCUAACGCUUUAAGCAUUCCGCCUGGGGAGUACGGUCGCAAGACUG